GUUUCAGUUCAAGUCAGUCGAUCCUACGCUUGUCCCACGUAAAGUUGUGAUUACAAAUGACCAAGUUCAACAUUCUAAUCAGCAAUGAAGUGCAACGAAUCUUCUAUGAAUAUUUAGCAGCACCAUUGUCGUAGGAACAAGAAAUCAUCAACCCAGCCAAGUGUGACUGCUUUGCAAGCACAUCUAGCGGGAAAUCAGCGUGUACGUGUAGUGGCCGAGAUGCAUUGACGGAACGAAAAGGAAACAAAAAGGCAAGACAAAGAGACACCGAAGAAGACGUGACUACUCAUGAAUACUUAAUCAAAAACCGACAAGAGAAAAAAAAGAAUUUAAAAGGACAUCCGGGGGAGUCGACAGCAAUUUGCACUUGGCGGGAGCAACUCCGGGAAAAAAAAAUGCGAGAGAAUAAAAGGAACAACUACUAUAGAAUGCUAUUCCAGUUCAAAAGACGGUAAAAAAAAAACGUUUGUGUGCCAUGUGUCACUGAAUAACCCGAUGGCCUUUAUAUUAAAGAAACAUUGACGAUGACAUAAAAUGCUGGUGGACGUGGCCAGCUGUGGACGCCAUCCUGCGGAUACGUAUAAAGGUCUAUACACAAGAGUGUGCACUACAGCUUUUAUGGUUAAAGUGCUUGUCGAGGACAGUUUGUUCGGCAGGUCCCAGUCGACAUGGUUGAUGGUUUUGCAUCUGAGUCACUCAACGCGUCGAUAAACGACCCAAAAAUUUUUGAAUUUUGUAGGGUCUCCCCAUUUAAUCACAAGGAAAAACAGAGAAGGAAAACCAUAAAAAUGACAGUUGACUUUGCAUUGUGGGAUAGAAGAAACUAAAAUUUGUGGAAGAAAAUUCUCGGGAAAGUCCCCGUCGCCCUGAUAAAGUUAGAUCUUCUGUCACCGCGUAAACCGACUUGUUUAACAUCUACGGGACACUCGUCAGUAAUCUGCAGUAGUUUUUCAUCGCUCACUGCUGUCUGACAUUUUGCAAGCGAGAAGAAUUGGCCCAAAAGGAAUUAGUAAACACAUUCUUUUGAGGCUUAGAAAAAAAAAAACAGAUGGGAAGAAAACAAACAGAAUUGAAUUUGUAAUAAAUAAAUCUAUCCCUUUUCAAUUAAACUUUUAGUAAAAAAUCCAAAAACGAAGAAGCGAACGCGCAAUUGCGUCUUGUAAUAUCCACAAAGAAAACAAACUAACAUAAAGAAACAUAGGAUAAGGUAAUGGAAAGAAAAGAUUAAAUUAAAACUAAAAUAAUCAUUUUCUCCUUUUUCUUUUCCAGACGGGGAAUCAUUAUUCACUUUCAGGCUCGACCUCUCAUAUCGUCACUCACAGCAAUCUUUACUGUUUGGAGCUAGUAGUUAGAGCCAAAUCAAUGUUGGCUAGUUCAAGAGGGCCGAAAAUGUGACGGGCUGGAGUGUUGCUGUCCUCCGACGUGAAGAACUCGACGACGAGUUCCUUGUAACGCUCGAAUGAAAUAGUUCGAUCAACGUCCUUUGCCUGCAUGUCAAGUAUUGUCGUUGAAUAUAGAAUUCUUUCGCUUUA
Daphnia carinata is the source of this 1532-nucleotide long non-coding RNA. RefSeq lists it as uncharacterized. NCBI's taxonomy places the organism in Eukaryota, Metazoa, Arthropoda, Branchiopoda, Diplostraca, Daphniidae. The transcript has 6 exons. The record is from RefSeq and is a predicted model, not a curated record.